Molecule: long non-coding RNA, 988 nt
Organism: Amphibalanus amphitrite
Lineage: Eukaryota; Metazoa; Arthropoda; Thecostraca; Balanomorpha; Balanidae
Exons: 2
Source: RefSeq, a predicted model, not a curated record
CUCCGUCCCCGGGACCGUUCUACCACAGUCGGGCUUUGAGACAUCGAGCCCACUGGGACGCGCUCGAAGGCACCACGGCAGCUGAGAGCAGCCAGCCAGCACACAGCGAGGAUCCGGUGCCACAGGUCAUCGGAGCGGGGCCGGCCGAGCUGUCCUGGUGGCUCGCGGUCGGCCUGCGAGCACCCUGACAUCGUGAACGAUAGCCGAGCAGGCGAUAAUCAAGACAAGAAGCAAACGAUCAUCAGUGAGUUGGUGACAGUCUCCGCCAGUCGGCCACCGAUCGCCACCGUCACCAAUCUUCGCGGGAAGUUGGCAGGGACAGAGCUAAAAGCACUGGACCAGCCGCUGGGUCAUCCACUGGGUCACCCACUGGGUCAGUCGCUGGGGCUGCCCUGGGUCACCCACUGGGUCAGUCGCUGGGGCUGCUCUGACGGCCGGGCGACGGACGCAUCCUGCGACUGAAGUCCGAGAGGAGCCCGUUCAGCGACUGCGAGGAUCCAGCCUGGAGACUGAAAGGACUGGGGCGCUGGGGACUUACUCUGCGAGAGGACUGAACGGACGCUCCUUCACUUUCAGUGCCUUCUUGGCCUUGGCUUAUGUAGUACCAAGCAUAGAUGUGUAUCCUAAGUGCCGCGUUGGUAAGACCAAUCAUAUGGGCUACUGUUGAGGACCGUGCUUUGCACUCCAGUGUUUUAACUUCUAGGAAGUUGAUGGGUCCUUAUGCCUGAGGAGAUUAGAACACAGAGUGCCUUAUCUAAUAUGUUUAGAAAUACUCGCAACGUUUGAUGUAAAUAAAUAAGCAUGUUCGUCUACAAUGACUCGAGUCUGGUCUGCUGUACAUACAGCUCUAUAGUUGACCCGGAUAUUUGCAGUGUUGAAAGGUCUGAAAGUGCUCACUGUUUAUAUGACGUGCAAAUGUGUUAUGUCAUUAACUACGCCCGCUGCAUACAUGUGUACAAUACAGCGGCGUACCGAUCGGCUCAUCGGA